ACUUGGCUUAAAAGUGUAUGAAUAGAUGGCGACAGAAUCGCUGUGUUGGAAAUUUUCUGGGGAGGUUUAGGUGGUGAAAACGAAAGGUAUACCGUAAAAAUUCCUCACAAACUCGCGAGGAUGUUUACCGUGCGGUGGUUAUUUCUCCGUGGUCUUUGUUUGACCGAGAGCUGUAUGCAUUCGCGAGAACCGCCUCUGCGCAUGGUGUCAUCAUCUACAGACUUGGCCAAUAGAUAGUCGUUCAGGUCUACACUCAGUGCCAAUGGAGCGGCACAAGGCGCUGUUGAGCUGCAUGACUUUGUGUGUGAGCUGAUGGCGACCUGAUCGCAUGCGAGGAGUUCUGCAAUGUUGCCAACAUCGGAAGUACAUGCCACAGUGGAAAAAUAAGAAGUGUAUGAACUGGUCUCCAGAUUUGCUAGGCAAAUCAAUAAGGCUGUGCUCCUUCUGCAAUAGAUGGCGCAAUACGUAGUGAGCUGUGCCCCAGGGUAUUGUCGGCUUGCCAUAUGUGUAUAAGGAAAGCGCAGCUGAACCAUUGAGGGCAAUAAAAUGGAUUUGUUGACAUUUUU
Rhipicephalus microplus (southern cattle tick) is the source of this 566-nucleotide long non-coding RNA. The record is from RefSeq and is a predicted model, not a curated record. NCBI's taxonomy places the organism in Eukaryota, Metazoa, Arthropoda, Arachnida, Ixodida, Ixodidae.